This is a long non-coding RNA of Bubalus bubalis (water buffalo), 1656 nucleotides long. RefSeq lists it as uncharacterized. The record is from RefSeq and is a predicted model, not a curated record. Lineage: Eukaryota; Metazoa; Chordata; Mammalia; Artiodactyla; Bovidae. The transcript has 2 exons.
AUCUCCUUGCAGUGCAGGGGACUCUCAAGAGUCUUCUCCAACACCACAGUUGAAAAGCAUCAAUUCUUUGGCACUCAGCAUUCUUUAUGGUCCAACUCUCACAUCCAUAUAUGACUACUGGAAAGGAUGGCAAAAAUUACAUGAUAUACUUGAAAGUGCCUUAGAACUGUGAACGUUGAUGCUGGUAUCAGAUAUUUUCAAUGUUUAUAGUAUAGAUAUUUUAGAAUGUUUAUAUAGGUACAUUUUCAUAGUCUCUCAGUUCUUUAAAGGAAUAACCCUGCAAAAGUAAAUUUGCUUACUGCCAUGUCAGGGAUAUAUAGUAUUUCAAUAUAUCCCCCCAAAACAUCUACUCCCAGUUGCUUGAAAGAAAUAGUUACUUCACCCCACUGGAGAAAACCAACACUGCCACUGUUCUGAUUAUCUAUUGAUGUUGUAUAAUAAACUAUGGGGCAAAAUGCAAUGCUGUAUAAUGGCAAGUUAUUAUUCUUUCAUGGUUCUGUGGAUCAACUGGGUUUAGCUAAAUAGUUAGCUAAAUAGGCUGGAAGUUUUGGCCAUGAGGUCAGCUGGGACUAUCCACAAGUGCCCACAUCUGACUCUUCCACGUGGCUUAGGCUUCUCACAGCAUGGAGGUCUGAGGGUAGUCAGCCUCUCACCUGACAGCUGGCUUCCUAGAGGAAGAGAUUUUCUUCCAAUUCUGUGUGUCAGGGCAGUCACAGAGCCUGCCCAGAUUCGAGGCUCUUCCUCUUGAUGGGGGAGCAGCAAGUUUACAUCACACAGCACAGGGGAUGGGAGACACCAGCAUGGCCAUCUCUGGGGACGACAGCCUGCUGCAACCACCAGCCUGUUCCAGUGUUAGGGUGGGUAGGGACCACUUUACGUGAAAAGCCUUGUGGGCAAUCCUGCUGACUUCAGAAACCUAGAUUGUGUCCUGGGAUCUAAUUUCGAUUUUAAAAGAAAAACUGACAGAGAAGCACAACUACCUCAUGCUUGUAUCCUGAACAAAACACUUCUGUCACUCAGUGGGUAAAGAAUCCAUCUGCAAUGCAGGAGACGCAGUUCGAUCCCUGGGUCGGGAAGAUCCCCUGGAGGAGGACAUGGCAACCCUCUCCAGUAUUCUUGCCUGGAGAAUCCUAUGGACAGAGGAGCCUGGCGGUUGGACACAGCUAAAGCAACCGAGCGCACACGCAAAGGAUUGUUGUAUGAGCUAUAGAAGAUUAAGCAAGGAAAGCACUUAGCACAGUGCAUGCCAUGUUGGCAAACAGUAAAUGUUAGCAGUUGUUCUUAAUACUAGAUUUGAUCCUAUGGACAUUGGAAAGCUAUUGAAAAUUAUUGUUACUUGCUGUUGUCACUGUAGAUUACCGAACCUCUUUCUCCUUCAUCUUUAAAUAGUUUUUAUGAUUAAACAAGGAAGUUUUUGUAAAGUGGUUAGAAGAGUGCCAGAAACAUAGUGAUUGCUAUCUAAGUGUUUAUCACGUAAUUUAAUUUAAUCUCCUAAGGGAUAGAAAGAUGGUUUUCUCGUUUUAUAGAUGAGUAAGCUAAUUUCAGGGAAGUUCAGUUUCUUGCCUAAGGUAGUAUAGCUGAUAGAGUGGGGAAGCCGUGUUUCAUUUCAUAUUCAACCCAUGUUUUGUUUCAUGUUAUAGUGGUUGCAUCUCAUAA